Molecule: ribosomal RNA, 1366 nt
Filed under: Lactiplantibacillus plantarum
Lineage: Bacteria; Bacillati; Bacillota; Bacilli; Lactobacillales; Lactobacillaceae
Description: bacterial SSU rRNA
Rfam family: Bacterial small subunit ribosomal RNA
Source: RNAcentral
UGAGUGGCGAACUGGUGAGUAACACGUGGGAAACCUGCCCAGAAGCGGGGGAUAACACCUGGAAACAGAUGCUAAUACCGCAUAACAACUUGGACCGCAUGGUCCGAGUUUGAAAGAUGGCUUCGGCUAUCACUUUUGGAUGGUCCCGCGGCGUAUUAGCUAGAUGGUGAGGUAACGGCUCACCAUGGCAAUGAUACGUAGCCGACCUGAGAGGGUAAUCGGCCACAUUGGGACUGAGACACGGCCCAAACUCCUACGGGAGGCAGCAGUAGGGAAUCUUCCACAAUGGACGAAAGUCUGAUGGAGCAACGCCGCGUGAGUGAAGAAGGGUUUCGGCUCGUAAAACUCUGUUGUUAAAGAAGAACAUAUCUGAGAGUAACUGUUCAGGUAUUGACGGUAUUUAACCAGAAAGCCACGGCUAACUACGUGCCAGCAGCCGCGGUAAUACGUAGGUGGCAAGCGUUGUCCGGAUUUAUUGGGCGUAAAGCGAGCGCAGGCGGUUUUUUAAGUCUGAUGUGAAAGCCUUCGGCUCAACCGAAGAAGUGCAUCGGAAACUGGGAAACUUGAGUGCAGAAGAGGACAGUGGAACUCCAUGUGUAGCGGUGAAAUGCGUAGAUAUAUGGAAGAACACCAGUGGCGAAUGCGGCUGUCUGGUCUGUAACUGACGGUGAGGCUCGAAAGUAUGGGUAGCAAACAGGAUUAGAUACCCUGGUAGUCCAUACCGUUAACGAUGAAUGCUAAGUGUUGGAGGGUUUCCGCCCUUCAAUGCUGCAGCUAACGCCUUAAGCAUUCCCGCCUGGGGAGUACGGCCGCAAGGCUGAAACUCAAAGGAAUUGACGGGGGCCCGCACCAGCGGUGGAGCAUGUGGUUUAAUUUGAAGCUACGCGAAGAACCUUACCAGGUCUUGACAUCCUAUGCAAAUUUUAGAGAUUAGACGUUCCCUUUGGGGACAAGGAUACAGGUGGUGCAUGGUUGUUGUCAGCUCGUGUCGUGAGAUGUUGGGUUAAGUCCCGCAACGAGCGCAACCCUUAUUAUCAGUUGCCAGCAUUAAGUUGGGCACUUUGGUGAGACUGCCGGUGACAAACCGGAGGAAGGUGGGGAUGACGUCAAAUCAUCAUGCCCCUUAUGACCUGGGCUACACACGUGCUACAAUGGAUGGUACAACGAGUUGCGAACUCGCGAGAGUAAGCUAAUCUCUUAAAGCCAUUCUCAGUUCGGAUUGUAGGCUGCAACUUGCCUACAUGAAGUUGGAAUCGCUUGUAAUCGCGGAUCAGCAUGCCGCGGUGAAUACGUUCCCGGGCCUUGUACACACCGCCCGUCACACCCUGAGAGUUUGUAACACCCAAAGUCGGUGGGGUAACCUUUU